GCUUCCUUCAGCAAGUCAAACACCUUCUCAGCAAUAUAUUUUUGUUGAAGAUUGGCACCCUUUUGUUGGACUUUAUCAGGAUGGAUGCACAAAGUUGCCUUUCUAUAAACUUUCUUAACAGCAGCAGCAGUAAUCAAAUCGGUCAAGGAAACAGGCUGCCAACCGCAUUCAGGCCAUAGCACAUAUUGCAACGUUGAUAGAAGAGCACGUAGAU
This 214-nucleotide unclassified non-coding RNA is filed under the name Hevea brasiliensis (rubber tree). Lineage: Eukaryota; Viridiplantae; Streptophyta; Magnoliopsida; Malpighiales; Euphorbiaceae. The record is from RNAcentral.